ACGUCUCAUCGUGAAUCAUCGAAUCUUUGAACGCAACUUGCACCGUAUGGGUCUUCCGUACGGUUUGCCUGUUUGAGUAUUGACUGACUUUUAUCGGGCUCAUUUGGCUUCGCUUGCGCGGCCGUGGUAGGUCCGGACGCUGAUCGGCCGCUUUCCUCGGAAGGUGACGGAUCGAAAUCCAUGUGGCAACGCAUCUGCGCUGUCUGUCGGUGUCAAAACCAUCCUGUCUUUGCUAGGUCCUUGUGACAUUUCUUUGGACGGACACGGUUGCGACGCAUACCAAACGACGGAUCACUGCGAUGUGCCUGCUGCAAAACCACCAUAUUUCAUCAAUGCAAUCUCAAAUCAGGCAAGAUGACCCGCUGAACUUAAGCAUAUCAAUAAGCGGAGG
Molecule: ribosomal RNA, 391 nt
Filed under: uncultured Rhizophydiales
Lineage: Eukaryota; Fungi; Chytridiomycota; Chytridiomycetes; Rhizophydiales
Description: eukaryotic LSU rRNA
Rfam family: Eukaryotic large subunit ribosomal RNA (bases 336-391)
Source: RNAcentral